RNAcentral lists this ribosomal RNA (316 nucleotides) under uncultured bacterium. Its description in RNAcentral is "bacterial SSU rRNA". It matches the Rfam family "Bacterial small subunit ribosomal RNA", at positions 47 to 334 of the family's 1533-position model. The record is from RNAcentral.
GAUCGAACGCUACGCGUAACAGGACUUAACACAUGCAAGUCGAGGGGCAGCACAGUGUAGCAAUACAUGGGUGGCGACCGGCGCACGGGUGCGUAACGCGUAUCCAACCUUCCCGUUACUCAGGGAUAGCCUUCCGAAAGGGAGAUUAAUACCUGAUGGUGUUUGAAUUCCGCAUGUUAUUCAAACUAAAGAUUUAUCGGUAACGGAUGGGGAUGCGUGACAUUAGAUAGUAGGCGGGGUAACGGCCCACCUAGUCUACGAUGUCUAGGGGUUCUGAGAGGAAGGUCCCCCACACUGGAACUGAGACACGGUCCAG